UCUGGAAAACCCCACUACGAUUCUGGAAAACCAUUUUGUUGUCAUCACAAUAUUAAGACACAAAAUAAGGAGACAUUGGUGCCCGAGCCCAGCUGAACCUGAUAUCUUCACCUUCCAUUCUGCGCUCGGGAUCCAUGAAAAGAGGUCUGCCGUGUCAGGCGCGGAUCGCAGAAAAUAGGCAGCGAGGCGAAAUACGGUAGGAAACAGUGCGCUAGCAGUCGGCCAGGGGCGUGCGUUUUUGACGGAGCAGGCGCGGGCGUGAACUGGUCCGUGGACCAGGACGUUAGUGUUUUUGCGUUUCAUGGAUCAGAUAAGGGGAACAGGCCGGUGCCGAGAAACUGAGCCGUCCGUCUCACACGUUUGCGACACACGUGCGUCUCGGUCGUUCUGAAAAACCCUUGCCGCCCAACCACCCCCGGCCGCCAGACCACGCUGCGACGACCGGCAAGAGUAUUUCUUGCGGCGGCGAUAGCUGGUCGACGGCAACCGCUACGUGAGCGACAUGGAAGAUGUUGGAUUGGACUUCUUCCUUGAUGCCAUUGACAGGUUCCGCUUGCAGGAAUUCGCGGACAGCCACGAACACCCAGAUCCGGUUCCUCUGAUUUGUUGGCGAGCGGCAGAGUAGGAGCGACGGCCCCUGCUGAUUCCAAUGCUUGCUCCGGUUGUGGUCAGCAGAUCCGCGGCGACGGCAGCGAAGCUGCGCGUGCUGGGGUCCGGCGAUGACAGGAGUCAUCCCCGACGAGGUCCACAGUCCACCGACAGAGUCAAUCCCCAGGCCCCUCUGGUUGCACAAAAAGGCUGAGGCUCGGUAGCACCCUCCCUGAUAGAACCCCUUGCGCUUCCCGGAUGAGUGUGCUGGUGUGAUUCGGAAAUUUGUGGAGAAACCAAUAAAAGUGUGAUCAAGCCUGAGCUGGGAUCAAACUUUGACUCCCUCGGCAAGGCGUACAAUUUCUACAAUUGUACUUGUGGGAAGUGGGAUUCGGGAUAAGAUAUUAUAAAAGCAGAUUGAACGCGGAGAGGGAGAAAUCAAUGUAGGAAAUUAUGUGUGAAUGCUCACGAAAGCCUAAAGUCGGGAACAACCGGUCUUGCAGAUGUGAGUGUCCGACGCUGAUCAGGCUCCUGAGUGUCAGACAUCAGUUGUUUCUUAACAGAGCAUCGUGAGAAACAUAACCACUCAAUGUCUCUCAUGAUGGGAGAGAAAGUGCAUUAGCCAUCAGAAAGUUGUGAACCACAUGCUCACAGUAGACGAGAUUGAAAAUGCCUGGACUAUAUUGAUGGAAAAGUAUAAUCUGAAACAGCACCCAUACAUGAUAGAGUUAUAUGAAAUCAGGACCAAGUGGGUGAAGCCUUAUAUCAAGGGGGUUCUCUGUGCAAGAAUGACAAGCACACAACACAACAAGAGUGCUAAUAAUAUGCUGAAAACGUAUAUGCCUCGUGCCAUUGCAGUGCACAUGUUUGUGAGCCAGUACAUAUGGCUCCAGUUUGACCGUGAACGCGAUGAGAGCUACAAGGAGAAAAGAACAAGGAUUUUAAGUCAGUGUCUUCCCUUCUCUGUCAUUUGAUCAGGUAUUUCAGAGUGCUCUAACAAUUGUCUCCUUGUGCAGAGUGGAGCAAGGAUUGUAAGUCAGUGUCUUCCCUUCUGUCAUUUGAUCAGGUGUUUCAGAGUGCCCUAACAAUUGUCCCCUUGUGCAGAGUGUAGCCGUGCGGCGUAUAAACCCUGUGAUCGAGAGGCAUGCAAUCAAGGUUUAUACUCGAGACAUGUUCUAGUAGUUUGGUCAGUUCCUUGUUGAGGGAACUGCAUAUAGUGUGACUGAGAUUGACUAUAAGGGUAAGAAGUAUGUGACGACAUAUAACCAUGCGACCAACCGGGAGAAGUGGAGUAGCGUAGUCUACAAGGUGAGAAUAAAAGAUGACGGCACUGAAUACGAGUGCGAGUACGGACAAUUUGAACACAUGGGAAUAUUUUUGCUGCCAUGUGCUCAGGUUAAUGGUCAUGUCGCAUAUUUUGCUGUUGCCCAUACUAACAUGUGAAAAUGACCCAACACUUGAAUGAUAAAGCUUACACGGGCUCUCUGUUUUUGAUUGCGCAGGUGAUGGACGUAUUGAAUUUGGCUGAAAUACCGGAUAAGCACAUUGUUAAGUGUUGGAAAAAAGACGCGGGGGAUAUACUACCCAGACAUCUGGUCCAUUACCAGAAGAAUGAGGCAGUGAACCAUUCAUUCACUUGUAGGCACUCCACAGUGACCUACAAGCGAUUGAUAUUGUUAGAAUGAGUGAUGAGAGUGCGGAAGAGUUUGAUCGCAUGUUGAGGAAAUGAAAGCAGUAAUGCUGAGUUGUGCUCCUUUGGCUGAGAAGAGGGAUGAGCCCGAUUUUGAAGACCAGCAGGCAACAUAAUCUGCCUGAAGGAAUGCCGGUAAUGGCUAGGUUGCCGCAAUAGGAGAUGGUAGUCCUACUGAAAAGCAUAGUUUGGGAUUCUCCGGUGGUGUAAAUGCAUGGCAGGGACUAGCGCCAGCGGCAAAGGCAGAGGGGAGCUGGUAGGCUGACAAACAGCUGUUACAAGGCUCCUUGCGAGGGUUUGAGCGAGCGGACGGGAUUCUGCAGGAUCUGCCGAAGGCAAGGGAACAAGAGAACAACUUGCCCUGAACGCGGGGAUGCCCCGAAGCAGCCUCACAAACUCGGGAAGUGCAAGAAUUGUGGAGUUGAGGAGCACAUGCGUAACAGUUGCACAAGGCCUCUGCGCGACAAUUGGUGGAAAGAAUAAGAUGAGGUUUAUAUUUGUAUGAUUCCAUUAGCAUUUGAGGAUUUUCUAGCAGUGCUUGUGUAUGCAUGGCUUAGAAAGCAUAUGUGAGAGUGCAAGUAAAUGAUGAUACACUGUUGCAUUUAGUGGGUGAGUGUUUCAAUUUGAAAAUUGAACUUGGGUUGCACUGAAUGCAGUUUCAAUAUUUUUUUUUUGAACUUGCAGUUUCAAAAUUUGAAUGAAUGGAAGCCAACGUGUAUAGAGCUAUAAGAGGAGGGAGGGUGGGUCUGCUUUGGUACGUGACCGUUAGGGCCUAAUCAGGCUUGCACGGCUCAGUCCGGCUCAAAUCUUUUCCUGGACCGUGCCAAAACUACUGAGCCGCUGAACCCAUUUGCUGUCCUACUCUAUUUUCCUUUUAGAAUACAAGCUACAUACACACCAGAAUACUACUAAAGGCCCAAAUCCCCAUGCACAUUAAGGAUGAUGAUAUCAGGUGCAUCUGAGCAUGGGCUCAGAAUUGAGUUUUCGGACAAACACAUCUCUAUUUUUUUCUUUUCAGGAACUUGAUGAGUAUAUAGCUUACAAGCAGACCAGUUGUGAUCUGUGAAUGGUUGCAGCAUA
This is a long non-coding RNA of Triticum aestivum (bread wheat), 3358 nucleotides long. RefSeq lists it as uncharacterized. Lineage: Eukaryota; Viridiplantae; Streptophyta; Magnoliopsida; Poales; Poaceae. The record is from RefSeq and is a predicted model, not a curated record. The transcript has 4 exons.